Molecule: long non-coding RNA, 719 nt
Filed under: Homo sapiens (human)
Lineage: Eukaryota; Metazoa; Chordata; Mammalia; Primates; Hominidae
Description: HSALNT0320950
Source: RNAcentral
CACAUAAGCAUCCUCUGCCUAGGACAUACCAAAACUCCCCAAUUUGUGUCAAUAAAACAUAUCAGUGUUGAAGGAAAUAGUAAAUGAACUACUUUUUGUUCAUGGCUCUCUGGGAGAAGAACAGACUCCCCCAGAUUUCCAUAUGAUUCCCUUCAUAUGGAAGAAUGAUGACAGCUAAAGAGCAAAUGCUGACAAAAUUGACAACCUUUUCUGUCACCUUGUCCUCAAUAAAGUAGCCAGGCUAUCUAAGGUGCAUAGUCAGAAACCCAGACGUUUAAUGAUCACAUUCUCUGAACCAAAAUGUCUAACAUUUGCUCUGACAUGAAAAAGGAAAUGGGAUGGAAUUCCAGGUUCCAUUUACACAGUCACUGCAUAUGCUUGGGUUCUUUCCCAAGCAAAAAUCACAGGAGCUACUUCCCAACAAUAGACGAUUUCUUUGACACCAAGGAUUUGAAACGAAAUUUGAUUCUUAACUUGUCUGUAAAUUAAAUGCAAUAAACAUAUAUUUUUGUACUGGUCAUUAACUAUAUUAUGAAUUUAAAAUUGUACUCAAUAGUAUUAUUUUGUAACUUAUUGAUUAUCAAACAUGAAAAGGAAGGUGGCAGGAUUAUUAAAUUACAGAUUGUAAAUUUGCUAUGGAAUGAUCUAAGUGAACAUGAUAUUUUCAUCCUGACAAAAAUCACAGCAUAGAAAUAACAGCUGUGUAAUAUACUAACUGC